Molecule: ribosomal RNA, 229 nt
Filed under: uncultured bacterium
Lineage: Bacteria
Description: partial 16S ribosomal RNA
Rfam family: Bacterial small subunit ribosomal RNA
Source: RNAcentral
CAAGUAGGCGGUUUAGUAAGUCAGAUGUGAAAUCCCCGGGCUCAACCUGGGAACUGCAUCUGAAACUGCAAAACUUGAGGACGGAAGAGGAGAGUGGAAUAUCCGGUGUAAGGGUGAAAUCUGUAGAUAUCGGAUAGAACACCAGUGGCGAAGGCGACUCUCUGGUCCGUUUCUGACGCUGAGAGGCGAAAGCUAGGGGAGCGAACAGGAUUAGAUACCCUGGUAGUCC